This is a long non-coding RNA of Acinonyx jubatus (cheetah), 14140 nucleotides long. RefSeq lists it as uncharacterized. The record is from RefSeq and is a predicted model, not a curated record. NCBI's taxonomy places the organism in Eukaryota, Metazoa, Chordata, Mammalia, Carnivora, Felidae. The transcript is spliced from 5 exons.
AAGAAAAUAGCUACAGAAGAAAUAAACAAGUACGAGUUCAGCUACUAAUUACCAGAAGCUCAUGAGGCCUCUGUUCAUUUUUUUGUUUUUAACCUUUUUACAGUGUGUAAACUCAACAUAGUAAUAUAAACAAAACUUCAGAGGACAUAUGCAUAGAGUAUUAACAGAUAAAGAAGGUAAGUUUUAGAAAGAACAAAACAAGUUUCUAAACAUUUGCGGAUCUCAAGCAAUGGCCAGACUACAUGGAAACUUCGUCCAUGCCAACACUCCUCGGGGGUGGUGUCAAUUGUCAUAAUCUAUAGGAGAGCAGUGUGUCGUACUAUGAAUCAUACCCAUCAACAUGGUAGUGCCAUUUCAUGGCCCUUGUCUUUGCAACCCUGGGAAACGUGGUGAGGAUACAAGUUAAAGAAGAAUAGAGUUUUAUGAUAAAAGACACUUGUCACAUGAUGAGUUAGGGAAAGAUUGAAAAUGGGAAGGAAUUCUAUGAACGCUGAACCCUAUGAGCCUGGAAUAAUGAGUAAGGAAAGGACGUAACCAUAGCUUUGAUCCUACUGUACAUGUAUAAUCAUGUGAAAUGUGUUUCAUGUGUAAGAAUAAAUUGUAUUGGGACAGAUAUGAGGUUGAUGGGAACGUGGGCAGAUUAUUUAAAAUCAUACCCAAUAUUGGUUCUUAUCUGACGAGAGCAAUUGUAACUCACAGGCAACAAAUGGAACAAACACGGGAACAGCUGCAGCAGGCAGAGCUCACCUUUAGACACUAGGUAACCUGAGUUCUGCCUGACAUACUGAACCCUUAGCACCUCACGCGGGUGAGUGUAGUGGCCCGUGGGAUCCCUAAACAUGGGCUUUUCAUUGUUGGCUUUUUCAGCUCGCAGUUCAUGAGAAGAAUGCUUAGGACAACUAGGUUCUUGUUUCCUCCUCUUUCUUUGGUGCGCACUCUGGCACGACUGAAGGUGGAUGUGUUUUUUCUCCCCCAGAUCAAGACUCAGAUCUGGGACAGGGAGAUGGCGGAGCAGGGCAGGGAGGUCGCUUACUUGAAAUACAGGUGUGGUCAUUUGACUUGCGUUUUUAUGGGUGUUUCCAGGGAUGACGCCUGCACUGUUAGUUGUCUAGUAGACGACAUGGUGUUGCAACUCUUACAGAAGUCCAUAUUUUUCUGUAUCCAAGACUGGACGGGAUGGAAGCAAAGAGGCUGCCUGAGGGAUACACAAGGCAGAAACCAAUGGCUGCAAGACCAGAGAUGCAGAACCCUCCAAAGAGAGGUAAGAAGCACGUUGUGAUGUGCCCCAGUCUAAUUUCUGCUGUGCAGCCUGUUCCUGUGGGUGAUCAUCGUGUGGUCUGGAAAGAAUCACAAGCACUAAGGAUGGCAGGUGGUCUGAAGGGGUGACAGAAGGGUGUUCUCCUCUGGUGCCGCAGACAGUGAGGCACUUGUCCCUGUGACUGGUGGAGCUCAUGCCCCUUCUCUGACGGUGACCCUCCCACCUCCUCUAGCAUCCCCCUGUCUGAAGAGCCUGGAAAGGAUGACAGGACAUGGGCCUCAUCCUUCUUCCCACCCGGACUCAAUGCGAAGACUUUAGUUUAUUUGAGGAGAAGGUCAUUUAUUCACUAUUUUUAACGGUCUUUAUUUUUGUUUGUUUUUGGGAACUGUAGCCCUGCAUCCCUCAAUUCAAAUUCCAUAGAGCUUAGCUUAGCCCUCUGAUGGUAUCAGUGCAACCCUGAAGCUUCACUGCUAACUUCUCAUAGUUCUCCUUUUCUCAAUAGUGUAAAAUUAGUCUUUUGUUAUAUAAUAACUGCUCUCAUGUGGAAGGCAGCUUGUAGAUAAGCUGAGAGAUUGAACAAUUCGCCUGAAGUCUGAGGAAACGCACCCUUCUUGAGGAUUCAUUGAGGAUAUACACCAAACCAGUAUUCUCAACUUUAUUCUUUUUUUUUUAGGUUUAUUUAUUUUGAUAGAGACAUAGUAUGUCUGGGAGGCAUAGAGUGAGAGGCAGAGACAGAAUCCCAAGCAGGAUCCACACUGUCAGUGAGGAACCCAAUGCUGGGCUCGAAUUCACAAGCUGUGAGAUCAUGACCUGAGCCAAAAUCAAGAGUCGUGUGCUUAACCCAAGCAUUAGCAUUGAGCCACCCAAACGUGCUCAUAUUUAUUCUUAAUCUGUAAUGAAAUGGUGAUUCCCAUGAUGUAUACUGAGAAACCUCUGUUUUACUGAUGAAUUCUAAAUUGCUAGUUGAGCCUGACCUGUCCAUAGUUAUUUGAUUAAUUAUGAAACAACAUGGACCAGGACACCAUGAGGUCUUUAUCAAGGGUCUUUGGUAGAUCCAGAAACUGCUGAAACCUCUGUGAGUUAGAGCAGCUCUGACUGUACCAAGAAUGCAGACAAGGACAAGGUAAAUGCCGGGGCCAUUCUCAGUUGUAACUCUUUUGGGAAACUCUCAUCUUCAUGUACAGCACGCUCUCCCGGCCUUGUCUCGUUUUGCGUGUUGUGUGAUAUGUCUGUUUUCCAAACGCACACUCAUAACCCAGAAGCCCACAGGCUUCUCAAUUUUUAGUCUGUCAGCUUUCUGCGGUAAGUUUAGAAGCCAAAAGUGCUCAGAGACGGAGUACCUUAAGGUUUUUCCGUGAGUUUCAGGAAAUAAUGAGAGGAGGAUGACUCCACACUCCAAACAGAGGUCUCCUGGCCUGGGUGACCCCUUCCAGACCUCACCUCUGUGGGAACAGUGUGGCUGCUGUGAAUCUCCUUUCUUGAUUCUGGGUAGGAGAUGAACCUGUUAGAAACAACAUCGUGACUCCAACUUUAUAUUUUGUGCCCUGUGCCAUUUAGAGUGGUCCUAGAUAAAGUCAGUGUCAUCACUCAUCACCUUCCCGUCUUUGUUGGUAAAUGAGUUGUCUGGAAUCCUUCCAGCUAUACCUUAGGUAAAACUAGUUUGAACACUGUGUCCUUCAGUUGUGUUUCUAUGAGCAGUUUCUGGUUGUGUCCCCAGUCACUGUUAGAGCUGAUACAGUCUCAUGACACAUACAGGAGUUUUAUACCAAAACACUUGCAUGAAAUCUGUUAUGUGAAUUUCUCCCUCUUUUUUUCUGUUGCACAUAAUUACUGUGUCCUGUAGUAUGCUUAAAGUCAGAAUUCCCUAUGAAUUAAGAUGAACACAUCUGAGCUUUGUAGACCUUCACCACAAGUAACUUGUUCCUCACAGAAGACUCUCAUUCCUCUGCAAGAUUCCAGGCAUCCUCCACCCCCCAGAGGUCUCAGAGGCCUUUGACAACACUUCAAGAGGGAAGACUCCUUUCUCAGGGAGAGGAGCAGAGGAGGCACAGCGAGGGUCCGGCUGCAGAGCGUUUUGCCAGGAGUGGCUGUGAGUCCAUGAGCAGAAUAUGAGCCAUGUAUUCCCACUCAUUUUUUUGUGUUCUUAAUAUACCAAAAGCAGAGCAUCUGGAGUCGCUGUAGAGGAGGGAUGCAGGGUGAACCUGGACAUCGAUGGCUGCAUGUCGGGAGAAUCCAACUUCAUUAGUCUGUAAUUAUUUCUGUUAACCCUCUAGGACAGGACCCUUGCCAGUUUACUUCCGCAGACAUGGGCAGUGAUGUGUGGUGGCAUCCAGUGGCAGGGACAGAGUUUUCAGGGCAGUCUGGAUCCUGGGGACCUCCUCCUUUAACUGGACGAUUCUGCAUGCCCUACCCUGGAGACGCCCCGCCCCCAUGGACUAUUAGGCACGUCCACCUCCUGAACCUUAGUGGCCCUGAAGCCACCCGGAACCCCUCCACCUGCAACACUUGGUAAGAUGAUCUGAGCACUAGGAGUUGACUUGUAAAACACACUCACCUUAUUUUUGUUGCUGUUAGGUCUUGGGCCAAGGUGCAGAGGAGGUACCACAGACCAUUGUGAUGCAAGGGGAAUGUCUGCUGCCAUUACCACAUUCCUCAAGUUUCUCAGGAUCUCAUCUUUGUCAUUUCCCCCAUCAUGGGUCCAGGAGCAGGUGUCACACCCAAGAGUGACAUCGACACUGGCUCUGCCAAAACUGCCGAGAAACACAAGGCUAUUAUGUAUUCAACAGGGCCUGGUCCUUUCCCAGGAUUGCCUUGCAGGCUGUUCCCCAUGGACCACCCUUCACCACCAGUCAUGGGCUAUAGGCCACGUCCCCCUCCACCACCAGCUCCUCCACCUCCUCUAUUUGUUAAGAUGACCUGAACUGGAUGAGAGGCUGGUAAAGUAUAUUCAUCUUCUUCACGAUUGACUUUGUGGGAAUGAUGUAGAGAUGGCUGUGAGUCUUGGCAAUGCAACUACCAACUGCCUGAGGACACUGUAGCAUAUCUCAAGUUUCUCAGGACAUGCAUACAAUGGGCAGUGUCAUUUCCCUGUAAUACGGUGAACUAUACAUUUCUCUUGUCAAAUGAAAGAGGAUUUUUUACACAAAAGCAGACGUAUCAGCAGCACUGGUGCAUAUUUUGGAGACACAAUGUUUUGGGUUCUGUAAAGAAUGAGGUGCACUCCUAACUUUUAGAGCAUCAGGUGUCCUGUGUGAAAGAGGGACAUGCAUUAAAUGACACAGACCUUGUGAUCACCAUAAUGGAAACACCAGUGAAGGAUCCAGUGCAAAAAUGGGGGAACCUUGAAUCAUACAGGAAUAGAAGGGAAGUUGAGCACAGUAAGCAGAGUUUGAGGAGGUGCAGAGGGGAGGGUGUUGGGGUUAGUGAGAUGCAGUUGGAGGUCAUUCCUGGCCACAGCCUGAGCAGGGAGUGUGAAGUCCACACAGAGCUGCUAUGUGGGGUCGCUCUCAGUGCACAAUGCAGUGUUCAUCUCCAAAAGGUCAGUGUGUUGCCAAAGUGCACGCAGGUAAUCAUCUAAAAAGAUUGUCUCCCUGGAUUUUCCUGAAGGGUCUGGGUAUUUGUGGGGGAAAAAAAGCCCUGGAGAUAUGGGGAAUUUAACUUGGUGUUAUGAAAAUGCUGUAUGCCCAAGUUCCUAUCCCUCAGUGAGACUAAAAGUGGAGACAGGAUCUAGAUCAGCUGAGUGCCUGCAUUGGCCUUCAGCCUGAGUCAGACUCAGGCCCACUUAGUGGGUCAACCUACAAUUCAGGGUUGGCCAGAAGCUGCCCCCGCUGGACCCCUGUCAUCACCCUGACUACAGCUUUGCAUCUCCUCAGACUUCUCUCACAAUAUCCUGAGGCUUUGCCUGUGUUCCUGCUGUCUCAGCCCUAAUACCAGUUCUCAGUGGGACCUACACAGAGCCUCAGCUGUGUUUUCUGUGAAAACAGGGGUAAUAUUUGUUUCUAAGAACAUUUUAAAAAGAAGACAUUAUAUACAUAAAGCAUCUGCAAAAUCUCUGGGAAGUGUCCACUCACCCUUCUCACAGUUUCAAUUGAGAUAUCUCCACACAAAGGUCCUCCAAAAAAGAUGGUCACUGGAGUUCAUUAAACUAAGACUGUUAACAACUCAGCCCAGGGAUUGGGAAUCACAAUUUUAAACAAUAAGGUAAGGUCCCUUGUUUUUCUAUUAAAAUUCGGGCCCUGCCAGACAAAGAAAGAAAAGAUAAUUAUGAGCCUGUGUACAUUCAGAGAUCCAGAUCUGAAGACAAUCAUUUUCCAUUACAUAUAAUCUCACAGAUGCAGCCACACACUAAAGUGUUCAUCUGAGCUCACAGCCACAGAUAAACUACAGAAGACAGAAUGCAUGUAGGAAGACAUAAGAUCAGAGGGAAAUACCCAAAAUCUCUUUGCCUUAUAGGACAACUCUUUUGAAAUUUGAAGAGGACUGUGCACGGUGACAGACUAUGGUGUUGUGUUUGUAUAUACAUUUUAAGAAGGUGUCAGAUCUGCCUGAAUGCUUUCCCUGCCCAUCCUGUCCCCUCCACUUUGUCCUUCCUACUGUCCCCUAACCCACCUUUCAUCGUUUUCUGUGUCGGCGUUUGCUUCUAGACCCAUCUACUCUCACUCCCCAUCGAGUGCACACAGUAGGGUUCCUGUACACACAGGUAACAAACUGGCAGAAAUAGAGGAUAGAAGAUCACCUUUUGUGCAGGGGAGCCCGAGGGAGUUUUCUAGGGUGAUGGGAACUUCCUAUAUCUAGACUGAUGGGGUGCUUAUGCUCAUUUAUUUUAGAAAUAUUCACUGACUCCCUGGUGCCUUGGGGUCAGAUAGACAGGUAUCUGUCCCUGGGAAAUGGUGGAGUUCUAAUGGUGGGGAAGGAUGAGGGACCAGCAGUGACUGUGGGAGAGCAGUGAAGAGGCCACAAUGGAGUCAGACCCUAACCCAGGAUGCCAGGUCUCCACAGACAGCACCACGUGUAGGAGGGCUCUGAGGAGCAGAGAUUUCUGGAUCAGACCUGUGAACUACAUAAUCCUCCUGCAGUUUCCUCACUGAGGGAUGGACAGGGUAGAGGCCAGCAGCUGGAGGACACCCUGAUCAUGGCUGGAUUGGAGCAGGGGACCUGAGGGAUUGAGUCAGAGAAAGGGACAGGCAGAAGGUAGCGACAGGGAGUUUGAGAGACAAAGGGAAGGGAAGAGAAGGGACCUUUCUCUGCCGACUUCACCUACAUUUCUGUGUGACCAAAAGGAGACUCUUGUCUCCAAGGGUAGGGAAGAGGGCUGGCAAAAAGAGUGACAUUCUCAGCUCAAGUGCUCAGGAUAUCUGCCUUGCUCUUGAGUACCUAACACAGGAAGCCCAUGCUUUCUGUCAUGGUUGGAACUGCAGCUCAUACCAUUUAGUGAAAAUCAAUCCAAUUAUGAAUCCCUCAACAUUAAAGUACUGAAAGAAAAUUAAGUGAACAGACUGAAAGAUACACACACCUUUGGAUAAAGUCCAAAGGUACACUGACUGCAAUACUUACAGGAAUAUAGUCUAUCAGAAAAGAAGUUAGGUACCCCAGUGCAGUCAUUCAGACACCUGGGCAAUAUCUGAAAACAUAAAAAAAAAAAAAUGUAGUCCUUACUUCAAAAGCAACAUUAGCACUAGACACAAAGGGAUCAGGAUUUAAGGUUUAGAGAGAAACCAUAUGACUUCAUGGUGCUGUACCCAUGAGAGCAAGUCUCAUCAAAUUAUACCCUUUAACUUGAAGGCUAUUUGUUAUAUGUAAAUUAUACUUCAUUAAAGAGAGUUUCAAAACAUAAAAUACAGAAGCAAAUGUGGGAAAGUUCCUUUCUAAUCCUGAAGUGCGUGCGUGAUGGGAGUCUGACCAUGUCUCAACAACCCGAAAGAUGAAGACAUUUAAAAAAAUUAAUAACAUUAGAGUAAGAGGACCCUGAGCUCACCCUGUCCCAUGUUUUCAACUACAUAACAUCCACAUCCAAGUCCAUAACCACAGAGCGAUCCAAAGAGUGGCAGAACUCCACAACUAAAUAGAUAGAAGCUGUACCUGAAAGGUUAGAAAGGUCAGAAAGGUGGAGGGCGGCUGCCUGCAGAGAGGGCAGAGAAAGUGAGCCCUCACACCAGGGAGCUCACACAGGGAAGACUAAUCCCCAGAACCUUUGGCUUUGAAACCCAGGGGGGCUGAAUUCCCUUGGGUUUGGAUCCUGGAGCUUUGGAGGUCAGCUGACCCAGCACUGGGUGAUCCAGAAGGCUGAAUGGUAACCUACAGGUCCCUGCCUGUGUAGAGAGGCAAUGUAAACAUGGCAUUUUACACAGUGCCAAGGCAACAGGAGGCAGAUCUGUUCAUGCUGACUUCUGAGUGGUGGCGGUAAUUUUCCAACAAUGAGGGAGCUCACAGGGACCAUUCCCUCCCCCCCCGCCCCACCCAGAUUAAGCACAGAGGCACUUACCAGGGAGUGGACCUACAAAGACGCUUGCUACCCUACAUGCUAGCUGUGUGCCAGUCCCAAGAGUUCUCUGGGGGACUCACCCACUCCAAGCCUGCUGGCCUCAGGGCAAACUGUUAAAACCGCAUGGGCACCUUGUCUGGCCAGCUGCAGGCAAAGCUGCCACUGCACACUGUGCCCAUCUGUACCGCACCCAGCUGUGCGCCCCCAGCUACCCUCAUCUGUCCCCCCCACCCCCCAGCCACUGACGUACUCUGUGCACAGCCUUGAGCCCCUGGUUGCCCUGGUGCAUAGCUCCCAGCCACCAAAGGACAGCUACGAUUUGUCAACAGAAUCUUGGCAAGUCAGAAGGAAGUGACAUGACAUGUUCAAAGUGCUGAAUGGAAAAAUCAGCAGCCAAGAAUAUUCUAUCCAGCAAGGCUAUCAUUCAGAAUAGAAGGAGACAGAGUUUCCCAAACAAAAACUAAAGGAGUUUGUAUCACUAAACCAGUCCUGCAAGAAAUAUUAAGAGGGACUCUGAGUGGAAAGAAGAGACCGAAAGUGACAGUAGAGAGGAAACACAAAUCCAGUAAAAAUGAAUAUUUCUGUAAAACAUCAGUUGAGGAACUCACAAAAAUGGAUAUAAAAUAUAAUUAUAUGUACCAAAACACAGGGAGGAGAAAAUAAUGAGUUCAGAGGUAAAUGACCAUCAAUUUAAUACAAACAGCUAAAAGCAAAGAAAUUAUGUAAAAACCUAAUGGUCACCGUACAUCAAAAACCACUCAUAAAUAUGCAAAGAAUAAGGAGAAAGAAAUCAAAUCACUAAAGUAAAUCAACAAAACAUGAAAGAGAAAGACAAGAAAGGGUUCAGAAAAUCAUUAGAAACCACAACAAAACAGGUAAUAAAAUGGCAAUACAUUCAAUAAUUAAUUUGAAUGUAAAUGGAAUGAAUGCUCCAAUAAAAAGACAUAGAGUGUAAAAAUGGAUGAAAAAACAGAUUUAUAUGCUGUCUGCAAGUGACCCAUUUUAGACCUCAAGACACCUACAGAUUGAAAAUGAGAGGAUGUCAAGAAACAUCACACAAAUGAAGGUCAAAAGAAAGCCGGGGUAGCAAUACAUGUAUCAGAGGGGAAAAAAAGAGGACUCAAAGAAAAUCACAAAUGAGAGGGGCACCUGGGUGGCUCAGUCGGUUGAGCCUCCGACUUGGGCUCAGGUCAUAAUCUCACACCCUGUGAGUUCAAGCCCCGUGUUGGGCUCUGUGCUGACAGCUCAGAGCCUGGAGCCUGUUUCAGAUUCUGUUUCUCCUUCUCUCUCUGACCCUCCCCCAUUCAUGCUCUGUCUCUCUCUGUCUCAAAAAUAAAUAAACGUUAAAAAAAUUAAAAAAAAAGUAAAAUCACAAAUGAGAGAGGAGAAAUCACAGCCAACACCUCAGAAAUACAAAAAAUCAUAAUAUUAUGAAAACUUGUAAGUCAAAAAUUUGGACAAUUUACAAGAAACAGAUAAAUUCCUAGAACAUAUAAGUUACAUAAACUGAAACAGAAAGAAAUAGAAAACAUAAACAAUAGCCAGCAAACAAAUUGAGUCAGUAAUCAAAAAAACUCUCAACAAUCAAAAGUAGAGGAGCAGGUGACUUCACAGGUGAAUUCCACCAAACAGUUAAAACAUGGUUAAGACCUCAUCUUAAGCUAUUCCAAAAUAUAAAAAAGGAUGGAAAACUUCCAAAUUCAUGCUAUGAGGCCAGCAUUACCCUGAUACCAAAACCUGAUAAAGAGUUCACUAGAAAAGAGAACUCCAGGCCAAUACCCUUGAUGAACAUGGAUGCAAAAAUUCUCAAAUACUACCAACCAAAUUCAAAAAUACCUUUAAAAAAUCAUUCACCACAAUUAAGUGGCUUUGUUCCCAAGCUGCAAGGUGGUUCCAUAUUUGCAAAUCAAUCACUGUGAUGCAUUACAUCACUGGGAGAAAGGAUAAGAACCAUAUGAUCAGGGCUCCUGGGUGGCUCAUUCCUUGAAGCGUCCGACAUUGGUUCAAGUCAUGACCAUAUGGUUCAUGAUUCAAGCCCUGUGUUGGGCUCUCUGCUGACAGCUCAGAGCCUGGAGCCUGCUUCAAAUUCUGUGUCUCCCUCUCUCUCUGCCUCUACCCCACUCACAUUCUGUCUCUGUCUUUCAAAAAUGAAUAAAUGUUUCAAAAAAAAAUACGGUCAUAUCAAUACAUGCAGAAAAAAGCAUUUGACAAAGUACAACAUCCAUUCAUGAUUAUAACCCCCUAAAGUAGGUUUACAGGGAACAUACAGCAAUGUAAUAAAAGUUAUCUAUGAAAACCCCACAGUUAACAUCGUCCUUAGCAGGGAAAAUCUGAGAGCUUUUCCUAUAAGGUCAGGAAGAAGACAAGGAUGUUUACUCUCACCACGUUUCAUAAACAUAGUACUGGAAGUCCAAGCCACAGCAAUCACACAAAAAAAACAUACAAAUCUGGAAGAAGUGAAACUUUCACACUUUGCAGAUUACAUGACACUAUAUAUAGAAAACCCUAAAGAGUCCACCGAAUAACUGCUAGAACUGAUAAAUAUAUUCAGCAAUAUCACAGGAUACACAAUCAUUGUACAGAAAUCUGUUGCAUUUCUAGACAACAAUCAUGAAGCAGUAGAAAGAGAAAUUAAGAAAAGAGUUCCAUUUACAGUUGCACACCAAAUAAUAAGAUAUCUAUGAGUGAAUGUAACCAAAGUGGUGAGUGACCUAUACUCUGAAAACUGUAAAACAGUGAUGAAAGAAAUUCAAGAUGACACAAAGAAAUGGAAGGACAUUCCAUACUCAUGGAUCAGAAGUACAAAUGUAGUGAAAUUGUCUAUACUUCCCAAAGCAAUUGACACAAUUAAUGCAAUCUGCAUCAAAAUACCAACAGCAGUUUUCACAGAACUAGAACAGUCCUAAAAUUUGUAUGGAACCACAAAAGACCCCAAUCUUCAGAGUAAACAUUCUUUAUGUGAAGUGAUAAUUAUGGAUGGCAUUAUACCUCUGGAUCUUCUGCUCCAAGACACAUGAACUCUGGCCUAAGCAUAUGAACAAGUGUUAGACAUAUCCCAACCAAGGAUCAUUCUGCAAAAUACAUUCUACAAAUGUACCCUCAAAACUUUGCAGAUUAUGAAAAGUAUGGAAAAUCUAAAAUUGGUUGUGACCAGGUGGAGCCUAAGGAGACAGGAUGACUAAAUGUAAUACGCCAGCUGGGAUGAGUCUGGAACAGGAGAGGUUAAAACCAAAGAAAUCUGAAUAAACAUAUAAAUUUUAGUUAAUACUACCAUAUCUCUUUGGGAUAUUGAUUGUGAUAAUGUACCAACUCAUAUGACAUCAAUAGAAAACAGUCUGAUGUAUGUGGAGACUCAGUACUAUCUUCCCAAUUUUUUAUUGGUAACUAGAAGCCCAUCAUGAAUGAAAACAUUAGUAAUCAUGGUUUUAUUUUUCAAUACAUAAUAUUAUAUAACUAGUUCUAGUAUUAGUUACUAGUGAUGGCCAUGUACCUAUUCUUGUUGUUCUUACUAUUGUUUAAUUUAAAUAAUAGCAUUCAUGGUACAGAAAACUGAAUGCAUGAUAAACACUUCAUAGAAACAUCUACUUCACAUAUUUUAAGAUAACGUAUGUAUAUACCACUGUAUUAUGUGGUAUGUAAAUUAAGUGUUUUUCUGAUCUUGAACGAACAUGUCAUUGAAUGGCUUUCCAUAAAGGUGGUUAUCCUAGAUAAUGAAUGAUACUCAAAUUUUACAGGAUGUACUCACAUCAUGCCUGAACAUUGUCAAAAAUAAAAAUAUACACAUGGCCAGAUGAAUCAUUGUGACUGGCUCAUUUAUUGUAAAGAAUCCUUGCUUUAAUAUUUUCACGCAUAUUUUUGGCAGGAAUACAAGAAAAUCAUAUAUUUCCAAAUCAAAGAGAUAUUCAAAGACUUGAAUAAUGAUAGGGAGUUCAAGGGGUUUCUGAAGGAAGAGAUGUGACCAUGAGUGGGGAGUCACAGGCAAGCAGCUUUCUCUGCUCCAUUAUGACAUGUUUGCAUGAGGAUAUGUGACUGCCAAAGGGUAAGACCCAGAAUUACAAGAGGGAAAGACAAUGCUUUAGGAAGAAGUGACUUGGAAAGGGUGUUCCUGUGCCUAAGUGAUGGCUCAGCAACCUGGCUGCGGGUCCCUGGGUCAAAGACUUCAAAAGACCAGCGGUAACCUAGACUAAUGAAGAUCUUAGUAACAUAGAUCAAUGUAUCUUAGAACCACAAAGACUUAGAGCCACAGAGUUGAUCUUCACCUAUGAUUGGGACAUGGCCACAGUUUCACAGGACCUGAUCACUGGGCCGGCAGUAGAUGGCUAAAAUAUUAUUUAGGGCUAUACAUUUAAUAAAAAAAUGUAUGUGUAAAAAUUUGGGUUUGGAAUGUUAAGAAAAAUCACAGGCCCAACGUUACUUAUGUUAAGACCCCAUGUCACUAAACCUAAUUUCAUUCCUGCAGGAAAGUAACCUUUAACCAGUCAGCAAAGAAUUUCGUAGUCAGUGCUGGAAAUUUAACUGAUAGAUCCCUGCCAUUCCCCUCAGAGGCAGUCUUGCCUAAAUAAGGUAUUCCAUGCCACUAAGUUUUUUUAAAGUUUAUUUAUUUUUAGAGCGAGAGAAAAGAGAGUACAUGCAAGGGAGGGGCAGGACGAGAGGGAAAGAGAGAAUCCCACAACCAUGAGGUCAUAAUCUGAUCCAGGAUCAAGAGUCAGACACUUAACCAAGCCAUCUAGGCACCCCGAGAUUGUGAGGUUUUAAAGGUUAGCAGGCUUGCUGGGAUACAGCCCCGAGGGCACUGGCCUACUCCUGAAGAGAAGGCAGCAAACAACUUGCAGGCAGAUGGCAUGGAAACAGUGAUCUGUACAACGCCUGUUGCACACAGUGGGGAGAUUAUGUACUCAUCGUGGAGAGCAUCCCUGAGAAGCAGUGUUCACAAUGAGGGGACAAAGAGCUAGGACAGAGGAGCUGCGUGGUGCCAUUUCCCUGCUCUGCCCCCGCUCCCCCUCCCCUCUGGCAUAAACACAGAGCCAUCUGCUGGAAACAAAGCAAUUCCCACACUGGCUGCCCAAGGUGCUUACACCAACCCCACCUUCCUGUGCUCUGGAGAGACUGGCCUUCUAGGUCAUUCAAGCUUGCCUCAGUCCCAAUGGAGCUGGCCCAUUCCCCAGAAGACCAGUGGAAGCCCAUGACCACACCACCUCUCUUGACCAGACAGUUAUGCAGGACUUCACUUCGAGUGGCAGUCGUUUCAAGUCUCAUUAACAAGCAGAUCAGAGCAGACCUAGACAAGUCUCACCACAUUCUGGCAAAGGACCAUACAUUGCCCAUACAACUGGCCUGAAGGAUAGUGUGGCCAGAGCACAAAACAGUGCAUGCAACACACACCAAAGACAAUCCCUGAUGUGCCAGGCCCUGGACACUAGAUGAUCUCCUCUUCAUAAAGCAAUUCAUCUCACAGGCAGGUAACAUAAUGAGCUUUGGUAACACAGAGAAGACAAAUACUCAGCUAAAAUGCCAAGACAAGAGGAAGGCAUCCCAAAUGAAAGAACAAGAUAAGAUCAUGGCCAGAGAAAUGAAAGGAACACUUCCAAACUCAUUCUAUGAGGCCAGUAUGGCCCUGAGUCCAAACUGGACAAAACCCCACUAAAAAGGAAAACUACAGAUCAAUUUCCCUGAUGACCCUGGAUGCAAAAAUUCUCAACAAAGAGUAGCAAACCAGAUCCAACAAUACAUAAAAAAGAAUUAUUCAGCACAAUGAGGUGGAAUUUAUUCCUGGGAUGCACAACCGAUUCAAUAUCUGCAAAUCAACUGAUGUGAUACAUCACAUUGAUAAAAGAAAGGAUAACAACCACAGGUUCCUCUCAAUAGAUACAGAAAAACGUUUGACAAAAUGCAGCACCAUCCUUUCUUGAUGGAAAAAAAAAAAAAAAACCUCAUGAAAGGAGGGAUAGGAGUAUCAUGCCUCAACAUGAGAAUGUCCAGAUAUGAAACAGCUAAUAUCAUCUUCCACAGCUAAUAUCUUCAAUGGUGAAAAACUGAAAACUUUCCCCCUAAGGUCAGGAAAACGACAGGGAUGUCCACUCUCAGCACUGUUAUUCACCAUUCUGUUGGAAGUCCUAGCCUCAGCAAUCAUACAAAAAAAAAAAAAAAAAAAAAAGAAAUACAAGGUGUCCAAGUUGGCAAGGAGGAGUCAAACUUUCCCUGCUCACAGACAUGAUACUCUCCGUGGAAAAUCCAAAAGACUCCACCAAAAAACUUCUAGGACUGAUACAGCAAUUCAGGAAAGUCUCAGAAUGUAAAAUCAAUAUACAGAAAUUGAUUGCAUUUUUAUACACCAAUAAUGAAUCAGAAGAAAGAGAAAUCAAGGAAUUGAUCUCAUUUAAACUGCACUGAAAACCAUAAAA